AGUGAACGCUGGCGGUAGGCCUAACACAUGCAAGUCGAACGGCAGCACAGGAGAGCUUGCUCUCUGGGUGGCGAGUGGCGGACGGGUGAGGAAUACAUCGGAAUCUACUCUGUCGUGGGGGAUAACGUAGGGAAACUUACGCUAAUACCGCAUACGACCUACGGGUGAAAGCAGGGGACCUUCGGGCCUUGCGCGAUUGAAUGAGCCGAUGUCGGAUUAGCUAGUUGGCGGGGUAAAGGCCCACCAAGGCGACGAUCCGUAGCUGGUCUGAGAGGAUGAUCAGCCACACUGGAGCUGAGACACGGUCCAGACUCCUACGGGAGGCAGCAGUGGGGAAUAUUGGACAAUGGGCGCAAGCCUGAUCCAGCCAUACCGCGUGGGUGAAGAAGGCCUUCGGGUUGUAAAGCCCUUUUGUUGGGGAGGAAAAGCAGAGGGUUAUUAAGCCUUUGUAUUGACAUUACCCACAGAAUAAGCACCGGCUAACUCUGUGCCAGCAGCCGCAGUAA
This 506-nucleotide ribosomal RNA is filed under the name uncultured bacterium. RNAcentral describes it as "partial 16S ribosomal RNA". It matches the Rfam family "Bacterial small subunit ribosomal RNA", at positions 29 to 523 of the family's 1533-position model. The record is from RNAcentral.